RNAcentral lists this ribosomal RNA (3161 nucleotides) under Brassica rapa (field mustard). RNAcentral's name for it is "eukaryotic LSU rRNA". The stretch from base 344 to 2504 matches the Rfam family "Eukaryotic large subunit ribosomal RNA". The record is from RNAcentral. Lineage: Eukaryota; Viridiplantae; Streptophyta; Magnoliopsida; Brassicales; Brassicaceae.
ACUCUAGGCAAUGAAUAUCUCGGCUCUCGCAACGAUGAAGAACGUAGCGAAAUGCGAUACUUGGUGUGAAUUGCAGAAUCCCGUGAACCAUCGAGUCUUUGAACGAAAGUUGCACCCCAAGCCUUCUGCCGAGGGGCGUCGCCUGGUUGUCACAAAUCAUCGUCCCCCCAUCCUCUCAAGGAUAUGGGACGGAAGCUGAUCUCUCGUGUGUUACCGCACGCGGUUGGCCAAAAUCCAAGCUAAGGACGCCAGGAGCGUCUUAACAUGCGGUGGUGAAUUCAAUUCUCGUCAUAUAGUCAGACAUUCCGGUCCAAAAGCUCUUGAUGACCCAAAGUCCUCAAUGCGACCCCAGGUCAGGCGGGAUCAUCCGCUGAGUUUAAGCAUAUCAAUAAGCGGAGGAAAAGAAACUAACAAGUAUUCCCUUAGUCACGGCGAGCAAACCGGGAAGAGCCCAGCUUGAAAAUUGGACGUCUUCGGCGUUCGAAUUGUAGUCUGGAGAAGCGUCCUCAGCGACGGACCGGGCCAAAGUUCCCUGGAAAGGGGCGCUAGAGAGGGUGAGAGACCUAUCGUGCCCGGACCUUGUUGCACCACAAGGCGCUGUCUACGAGUCGAGUUGUUUGGGAAUGCAGCCUCAAUCGGGCGGUAAAUUCCGUCCAAGGCAAAAUAUGGGCGAGAGACCGAUAGCGAACAAGUACCGCGAGGUAAAGAUGAAAAGGACUUUGAAAAGAGAGUCAAAGAGUGCUUGAAAUUCUCGGGAGGGAAUCGGAUGGAGGGCGGCGAUUCGUCCCGGUCGGAUGCAGAACAGAGAAAUCCGGUCUGCCGAUUGAUUCGGGUCGUGGCCCGACACGGAUUAAGGUGGUGACCUAAGUCCGGGCUUUUGUUACGCCUCGGAGACGUCACUGUCUUAAUCGUGGUCUGCAGCACGUGCCUCACGGCGUGCCUCGGCAUCUGCGUGCUCAGGGCGUCGGCCUUUGGGCUCCCCAUUUGACCCGUCUUGAAACACGGACCAAGGAGUCUGACAUGUGUGCGAGUCAACGGGUGAGUAAACCCAUAAGUUGAAAGGAAGCUGAUUGGCAUGCCUGUCGAGACCCAAAACUUGAUCUUCUGAGAAGGGUUCGAGUGUGAGCAUGCCUGUCGAGACCCAAAAGAUGGUGAACUAUGCCUAAGCGGGGCGAAGCCAGAGGAAACUCUGGUGGAGGCCCGCAGCGAUACUGACAUGCAAAUCGUUCGUCUUCCUUGGGUAUAGGGGCGAAAGACUAAUCGUUCGUCUGAUGGUGGUCGCUGUAAAACCUAGGGCACAAGCCCGUGCGGAGUGGCCGUCGGUGCAGAUCUUGGUGGUAGUAGCAAAUAUUGAAAUGAGAACUUUGAAGCCCGAAGAGGGGAAAGGUUCCACGUGAACGGCACUUGCACAUGGGUUAGUCGAUCCUAAGAGUCGGGGGAAACCCGUCUGAUAGCGCUUAUGCGCGAAUUUCAAAAGGGGAUCCGGUUAAAAUUCCAGAACCGGGACGUGGCGGUUGACGGCAACGUUAGGAAGUCCGGAGACAUCAGCGGGAAUUUCGGAAAGUGUUAUCUUUUCUGUUUAACAGCCUGCCCACCCUGGAAACGGCUCAGCCGGAGGUAGGAUCCAGAGGCUGGAAGAGUACCGCACGUCGCGUGGUGUCCGGUGCAUUCCCGGCGGCCCUUGACAAUCUGGAGGACUGAGUGCCGCUCACGCCCAAUCGUACUCAUAACCGCAUCAGGUCUCCAAGGUGAACAACCUCUGGUCGAUGGAACAAUGUUGGCAAGGGAAGUCGACAAAAUGGAUCUGUAACUUUGCGAAAAGGGUUGGCUCUGAGGGUUGGGUUCGGGGGUCCCAGUUCCAAACCCGUCGACUGUUGGUGGGCUGCUUGAGCUGCUCACGUGGCGAGAGCGGACCGCCUCAUGUCGGCCGGGGGACGGACUGGGAACGGCUCUUUCGGGAUCUUUCCCCCGGCGUCGAACAGCCAACUCAGAACUGGUACAGACAAGGGGAAUCCAACUCUUUAAUUAAAACAAAACAUUGAGAUGGUCCCUGCGGAUGCUAACGCAAUGUGAUUUCUGCCUAGUGCUCUGAAUGUCAAAGUGAAGAAAUUCAACCAAGCGCGGGUAAACGGCGGGAGUAACCAUGACUCUCUUAAGGUAGCCAAAUGCCUCAUCAUCUAAUUAGUGACACACAUGAAUGGAUUAACGAGAUUCCCACUGUCCCUGUCUGCUAUCCAGCAAAACCACAACCAAGGGAACGGGCUUGGCAGAAUCAGUAGGGAAAGAAGACUGUAACACCCAAAACCGGCCUCUCGACGAAACUGGACCCGUUUUCUACUUAAUCAAUCCUUUGCUUGUUUGAUUCAUUUUAAGUCUUUCAUUUACCAAGUCAUGUUUGAAUCUGAGGUUCAAAAACAAUUGAACGGAAAGCACAGCGGAAUAUAAAUGUGUAUAAAAUGUAUUACUUAGAAACAUGAGAUCCGAUACACAACUUCUUAAUCGUUUCAUAGACAAUCACUAGUUCAUCCCUAGCAUCAUCAAACCACACGUUACACAGCCUCUCAGUGACCGAGCCUUCACGGCUCCUUGGCUUGACCAGAACCAUCCUUAGUUCCUGAAACCACAACCAGAUAAGCAUUAAUCAUAACCGAGAAUAGAACUGGUCGAUUCUACAAUGCUUGGCUUGGUUCCUAGAACAUAGAUAAAUCUCGGACAAUAUACUUAUAAAAAGAUAUGAACCUGCCUACCGAAUCCUAAGUCAUUAAACCAACCACCCUUGACUUAGAAUAAGAUAGACAGUCCAGAAUAGAUAAACAAAAUACAUGAACAGUCCAAUCGUCCCAAGACCAAUCCGUCCCAUCCGAUAAAAUCUAGGUGCGACCGGCCUAGAUGAAGUCCGCUCAAUGCCCCAACGGACUUCCUUACCUGAUCCGGCCUUGGGCCUGGAUCCAACGGCCGAGUAAGCCUCACGCCCAAUCCGGUUAGGCCAAACGGCCGAUCGGACCAUGCGACUCUUACCCUGGCUUAAACGAACCGUGUACUUGUCUUGAAGGACAAGACAUGGUCUGAUCCCUAAGGAACGGACACGACCUGUCUCAUCAGGCACCGUUUGGAACAUGCACCCCUUCGGUCCUUGGUACCUCUUGGCCCUCGUACCCCUU